UACGAAGGGUGCAAGCGUUACUCGGAAUUACUGGGCGUAAAGCGUGCGUAGGUGGUGGUUUAAGUCUGAUGUGAAAGCCCUGGGCUCAACCUGGGAAUGGCAUUGGAAACUGGAUCACUGGAGUGCGGUAGAGGAUGGCGGAAUUCCCGGUGUAGCAGUGAAAUGCGUAGAGAUCGGGAGGAACAUCCGUGGCGAAGGCGGCCAUCUGGACCAGCACUGACACUGAGGCACGAAAGCGUGGGGAGCAAACAGG
Molecule: non-coding RNA, 253 nt
Filed under: uncultured bacterium
Lineage: Bacteria
Also listed under: 2 other names
Description: partial 16S ribosomal RNA
Rfam family: Bacterial small subunit ribosomal RNA
Source: RNAcentral